Otolemur garnettii (small-eared galago) is the source of this 109-nucleotide unclassified non-coding RNA. It matches the Rfam family "Y RNA". Rfam says of the family: Y RNAs are components of the Ro ribonucleoprotein particle (Ro RNP), in association with Ro60 and La proteins. The Y RNAs and Ro60 and La proteins are well conserved, but the function of the Ro RNP is not known. The record is from Ensembl. Lineage: Eukaryota; Metazoa; Chordata; Mammalia; Primates; Galagidae.
CACUAGUCUGAAAGUAGUAAGUUAUCUUGAUUGCUCAUAGUCAGUUACAAAUAUAACUUCUCAUUCUACUCAUUACCCCCUUCUCUCUACUGCACUUGGCUGGUCUUAA